GACGAACGCUGGCGGCGUGCCUAAUACAUGCAAGUUGAGCGAUGAAGAUUGGUGCUUGCACCAAUUUGAAGAGCAGCGAACGGGUGAGUAACGCGUGGGGAAUCUGCCUUUGAGCGGGGGACAACAUUUGGAAACGAAUGCUAAUACCGCAUAACAACUUUAAACAUAAGUUUUAAGUUUGAAAGAUGCAAUUGCAUCACUCAAAGAUGAUCCCGCGUUGUAUUAGCUAGUUGGUGAGGUAAAGGCUCACCAAGGCGAUGAUACAUAGCCGACCUGAGAGGGUGGUCGGCCACAUUGGGACUUGGACACGGCCCAAACUCCUACCGGAGGGAGCAGUAAGGGAUCUUCCGCAAUUGACGAAAGUCUGGCCGGGCAACGCCGCGUGGGUGAAUGAGGUUUUCGGAACGGAAAACUCUGUUGGUAGAGAAGAACGUUGGUUGGAAUGGAAAGCUCAUCAAGUGACGGUAACUACUCAGAAAGGGACGGCUAACUACGUG
RNAcentral lists this ribosomal RNA (497 nucleotides) under uncultured bacterium. RNAcentral's name for it is "partial 16S ribosomal RNA". It matches the Rfam family "Bacterial small subunit ribosomal RNA", at positions 28 to 507 of the family's 1533-position model. The record is from RNAcentral.